Non-coding RNA from Canis lupus familiaris (dog), 77 nucleotides. NCBI's taxonomy places the organism in Eukaryota, Metazoa, Chordata, Mammalia, Carnivora, Canidae. The record is from Rfam.
AGGAGUGUCCUUGCUGUCCUGGGCCCUCCUGGCUUCCGCCUGUCCCGGGGGGAGCACCGGAUCUUGGGCUGUGUCCC